RNAcentral lists this ribosomal RNA (460 nucleotides) under uncultured bacterium. RNAcentral's name for it is "partial 16S ribosomal RNA". It matches the Rfam family "Bacterial small subunit ribosomal RNA", at positions 338 to 795 of the family's 1533-position model. The record is from RNAcentral.
CCUACGGGAGGUAGCAGUGAGGAAUAUUGGUCAAUGGACGGAAGUCUGAACCAGCCAUGCCGCGUGCAGGAAGACGGCUCUAUGAGUUGUAAACUGCUUUUGUACAAGGGUAAACCUGAAUACGUGUAUUCAGCUGAAAGUACUGUACGAAUAAGGAUCGGCUAACUACGUGCCAGCAGCCGCGGUAAUUCGGAGGAUACAAGCGUUAUCCGGAUUUAUUGGGUUUAAAGGGUGCGUAGGCGGAUUGAUAAGUUAGAGGUGAAAUGUCCGGGCUUAACUCGGGAACUGCCUCUAAUACUGUUGAUCUAGAGAGUAGGUGCGGUAGGCGGAAUGUAUGGUGUAGCGGUGAAAUGCAUAGAGAUCAUACAGAACACCGAUUGCGAAGGCAGCUUACCAAUCUAUAUCUGACGUUGAGGCACGAAAGCGUGGGGAGCGAACAGGAUUAGAUACCCCGGUAGUC